RNAcentral lists this ribosomal RNA (439 nucleotides) under uncultured bacterium. RNAcentral's name for it is "partial 16S ribosomal RNA". It matches the Rfam family "Bacterial small subunit ribosomal RNA", at positions 339 to 795 of the family's 1533-position model. The record is from RNAcentral.
CUACGGGUUGCACCAGUGGGGAAUAUUGCACAAUGGGGGGAACCCUGAUGCAGCAACGCCGCGUGGAGGAUGACGCAUUUCGGUGUGUAAACUCCUUUUAUAUGUCAAGAAAAUGACGGUAGCAUAUGAAUAAGCACCGGCUAACUCCGUGCCAGCAGCCGCGGUAAUACGGAGGGUGCAAGCGUUACUCGGAAUCACUGGGCGUAAAGGACGCGUAGGCGGGUUGGAAAGUCAGGUGUGAAAUCCUACAGCUUAACUGUAGAACUGCACUUGAAACUUCUAAUCUAGAGUAUGGGAGGGGGAGAUGGAAUUAGUGGUGUAGGGGUAAAAUCCGUAGAUAUCACUAGGAAUACCUAAAGCGAAGGCGAUCUCCUGGAACAUUACUGACACUAAGGCGUGAAAGCGUGGGGAGCAAACAGGAUUAGAUACCCUUGUAGUC